GGCCAGACUCGACUGCGGGGGGUUACCCCGGAGCGUUGGGCAGCCGGCGGGGGCCACAAUCGGGCGGCAUGAGCGGUGGGGACGCAGGAUGCGCUCCAAAUACACGGCCGCGGGGCUGUGCGGGGCUCCCUGCCCGGCACAGGGUUUGUAUGGUGCGCACCUCAGUUCAGCUCAUUUUCAAAAUGGUUUUUUCUUCCUUACCUAGAAACAGAAGGCAGCUGAUCUUAAAGGCAAUGAAAAAACGUCGUGAGGAGUUGGAUUCCAUUUUGCAGCAGGGCUGGGUUGCACAACUGAAAUCCAUCGGAUCAGAUUUGGCAUUUCCAUCACUGAGAAGGUUAAUAAAACCUCUAAUAGGAUUUGUGACCGCAAGAACCACAGACCAAGGCCCAGCAGUUAAAUCCUGCUGGAUCUUCAUUGUCUAAGGCUUUGUCUGGAUCCAAGAGUUCUCCACUAUCGCUUGGACUACCCUCAGGAAAUCUUGAAAAGUGUGAGAGUCACAUUGCUAUCAACUGCCCCCAUUUAUAUCUGACAACUGGCUGGAGUCUGACCAAUGAAGACAUCAAAGACGUUGACGUGAUUGGUGAAGAGAGACGCUGCCCUUUCCCACAGGACUAAUUCGCUAGAGAUCAGUCCAGCAAUGGAUAUUGUCUUACACUAACAACUUUUCCAUCUUUAUGUAAUCUUAUAACUUGAGGGGAUCAGACAACAGAUACAUGGAUAAUGAAGAUCCUACAGAAAUAUAAAUAAAAAAUACGAUGUGUAACAUGUGUGUCUGAGAGUUGUGAGGUCAUUGACGUUUUUUAUGUAGUUGUAGAUAUUUUAUUUUUUGUAGUGAAUGCUA
Diceros bicornis minor is the source of this 841-nucleotide long non-coding RNA. RefSeq lists it as uncharacterized. The transcript has 4 exons. Lineage: Eukaryota; Metazoa; Chordata; Mammalia; Perissodactyla; Rhinocerotidae. The record is from RefSeq and is a predicted model, not a curated record.